Long non-coding RNA from Colias croceus (clouded yellow), 1498 nucleotides. RefSeq lists it as uncharacterized. Lineage: Eukaryota; Metazoa; Arthropoda; Insecta; Lepidoptera; Pieridae. The transcript is spliced from 4 exons. The record is from RefSeq and is a predicted model, not a curated record.
GCAGCACUAUUUAAUUAUUUUUUUCCUCAGAAGAUGGUAGAACGUAAAAUUUUUAUGCAAAAAUAAUAGAAUGGCUAUAAAAAUAACUAAAAUCAUUUUAUUUAGAACAAAAUUCAAUUGCUUUUAUAAAUAUAUAAUCUAUUCGAUGAAACGAUUUUUAAGUGCUAUAUACAGCGGAAAAUGAAACGUUUUCUCUCAUAAGUGUCAGUACCAGUGUUGCCGUUCUAAGAACGUUGUCUCAAUCUAGGGAAUUUAGGGGAACGUUUGGGGGAUAAACAAAUUCAGGGUACGUCUAGCUACGUUUUGAAAAUAGCAGAAAGUAUCAAAUCAGCCAUACUGGUCGAUUUGAUACUGAUUCUGAAAGAAACGAUGUGCCCAACAAUUUUUUUUUCGUUUUCGAUUUUGUUAGUUUUGCUAGUGACUUUUAAUUUUGGAAAAAGGCAACCCUGUCCAAUGCGAGAUAUGACAGGUCACAGGAUAAUCCGUUUGUUUUCUGAAAUUUGAAUUAUUCUUGAUUUCUUGAGUUUAUUGUUAAUUUUAAAAUGGCUUCUAGGAGGAAGGUGUAUUGUGUUUUUGGAUGUAGUGAAAUAGGAGCAAUUAUGCAUCGUUUCCCUCACCCUUCAAGACGACGAGUUGUUUGCUAUCGGGAUGUCAAUUGUUGGUGAAUGACUAAAAGAUCUUGGAGCCAGACAUGAUCUAAAGAAACAAGAGAGACUGUGAUUACCAUUUCAAGCCUGAGCACAAAGUUUCAGGUCACCAAUUACUCCAUUUAUCUGUUCCAUCAAUCUACUAGUGGUAUAUUUCAUUCUGCGAGUACAGCAGUUUACAUGGAACAUAACUAUUCUCAGCCAAGGAUGUGGCCUUAUGAGACAAGGGCAAAUGAAGAUAAUGAUGUCCCCAUUAAAUCAGCAAAUUUUAGAUAAAGGUCGUACAAAACAUUGUGAUGAAUACUUAGUAAAAAAAUAUAAAAAGUCCCAAAUUGAACAGAAAAAUUGAAGUUAAAGAAAAGUAUGGCUAAAGAGAGAAGUUUUAAAUUGCCAAUGCCGAAAAUUAGUUGCUGGUCAGGCAUUUCAUAAAGUCACAGCAAAAAUGUCAGAAGCUGGAAUUUUUUUUACUGGAAUACAAUUUAAACAAGCUCUGAAAAAACCUAAAGGAAGACGUUAUACCGCUGAAGAAAAAGUGUUGGCCUUGACUUUGUUAUUUUAUUUGUUAUGUUUGUGUUAUUAUAAUGCUUAACCAAAUACAUAUAUGAUAUAUAAUAUAUAAAUAAUCUUAAGCUACUAGAAUGCUAGUUAUAUAGUGUGGAAAAAAAUGAAUAAACUCCCAAUUAAUUUAAAAGCGUUUUUCUUUACCUGGCCCAAUUAUCUUUAGAUUUUCAAAUGUGUCAAGUGAUUUGUUUUGUUGUUAUCUUUUUUAUCACCUGGAAAUGUUUAGCUUUAAGUCCAGCCACCAAUUUAUUACGCAACUAGAUUUUUUUUAUAUGCAUUGUGUAAUUGUG